This 253-nucleotide ribosomal RNA is filed under the name uncultured bacterium. Its description in RNAcentral is "partial 16S ribosomal RNA". It matches the Rfam family "Bacterial small subunit ribosomal RNA", at positions 524 to 776 of the family's 1533-position model. The record is from RNAcentral.
UACGGAGGGAGCUAGCGUUGUUCGGAAUUACUGGGCGUAAAGCGCGCGUAGGCGGCUUUGUAAGUUAGAGGUGAAAGCCCGGGGCUCAACUCCGGAAUUGCCUUUAAGACUGCAUCGCUAGAAUCCGGGAGAGGUGAGUGGAAUUCCGAGUGUAGAGGUGAAAUUCGUAGAUAUUCGGAAGAACACCAGUGGCGAAGGCGGCUCACUGGACCGGUAUUGACGCUGAGGUGCGAAAGCGUGGGGAGCUAACAGG